This is a non-coding RNA of Vicia faba (fava bean), 252 nucleotides long. NCBI's taxonomy places the organism in Eukaryota, Viridiplantae, Streptophyta, Magnoliopsida, Fabales, Fabaceae. The record is from the annotation of a GenBank genome assembly.
AUGGAAUUCAAUGAUCUGCCUCACAUUAUCUUUAUCACUCACGUGCUGUUUCCACUGAUGAUCUGUACAAAUGUAACAUCAUCAUAUCCAGUGCUGAGCACAGGCAACCAAGAACUGGAACUUCACACUCGCUGCAUUGCAUUAGAAAAUGUAUAUUUUUGUAUUAUAAUGGGUAUCUUCCUAUCUACAUGUGUAACUUGUUCAGUAGUUACAAGGGGAAACAAAUUUAUCCUCAGAAAUCUCAUAAUUUAG